GACGAACGCUGGCGGCGUGCUUAACACAUGCAAGUCGAACGGAAAGGCCCUGCUUUUGUGGGGUGCUCGAGUGGCGAACGGGUGAGUAACACGUGAGUAACCUGCCCUUGACUUUGGGAUAACUUCAGGAAACUAGGGCUAAUACCGGAUAGGAGCUCCUGCUGCAUGGUGGGGGUUGGAAAGUUUCGGCGGUUGGGGAUGGACUCGCGGCUUAUCAGCUUGUUGGUGGGGUAGUGGCUUACCAAGGCUUUGACGGGUAGCCGGCCUGAGAGGGUGACCGGCCACAUUGGGACUGAGAUACGGCCCGGACUCCUACGGGAGGCAGCAGUGGGGAAUAUUGCACAAUGGGCGGAAGCCUGAUGCAGCAACGCCGCGUGCGGGAUGACGGCCUUCGGGUUGUAAACCGCUUUCGCCUGUGACGAAGCGUGAGUGACGGUAAUGGGUAAAGAAGCACCGGCUAACUACGUG
Molecule: ribosomal RNA, 468 nt
Filed under: uncultured bacterium
Lineage: Bacteria
Description: partial 16S ribosomal RNA
Rfam family: Bacterial small subunit ribosomal RNA
Source: RNAcentral